AGACAAUGACCCCAAGCAUUCAAGUCUUUCUAGCAAAAAUGGUUAAAGAAGAAUGAAGUUAAUGUUUUGGAAUGGCCAAGUCGAAGUCCUUACCUUGGAAUUCUGAUGAUCAGAGAGUAUGCAGAAGUGCAGCUCAGUAGCAGCAGGUUGAUAUUACACAGCUGGUCAAAUAUCUAACAUAUUAAAUUAUCUAGUCACCAAGCAAAUGUCUGGGCUGUUCAACAUUGUUUUUUCAAUUUGGACAUUUAAAAGUGCAUUGAUGCUGCAACCUGAUAAAAGGGCAUACAUACUGGCUGUCAUUUAUUAACCUUUUAGUAAAAUUGUGUUUAAAUGUUUCUGUAAACCAAACCAAACUAAAACAAAAAUUUUAUAAAUGCUUAAGGUGCAUAAGGACCAUCUCAUCAUCCAUUUAUAUGGCAGCAUUUCUUUUGUCACAGUUGAAUGAUUAGUUUUAUUUGUCUUCAUUUAUGGAUUUGUGUUGGCUGGCUUUCUUGUUUUUUAUAUUCUUUAAGUAAUGCCAAUACUAUAAAUGACUGGUUAUGACAAAAUUUUCUUGAUGGUAUACUUAGUCCGUGACCUAGUGAACUAGCAUAAGGAUGUGUGUACACCUGCACACCUGCAAAUAUCAUGCAGAUGUUCACAUCAAGCAUCAGGAUGGGGGGAAAAAGUGUGAUCUCUGUGACUUUAAAAGCAGCAUGGUUGUUGGUGCCAGAUCAGAGGAGAAUGACCAGACUGGUCUAAACUGACAGGAAGUCUAUAGUAACUUUAAUAAUCAUUAUUUACAACUGUGGUGAACAGAAAAGCAUCUCAGAAUACACAACACAUCAAACCUUGAGGUGAAACAGCAGAAGACCACAUCAGGUUCCACUCCUGUCAGCCAAGAACAAGGCUAUGAUGAACACAUGGACUAACUGAAACUGGACAGUUGUUUUAUGGGGGGGUUUUCUCUCUAAACUUAAACAGUCCAGUUUCGAUGAGCCUGUGCCCAUGAUAGCCUAACAUUCCUGUUCUUGGAAUGGAAAGGAGUGUAAAAAAGGAGUGAAAAUUCUGCUGUUGUAGCCCAUCUACCUCAAAGUUAACUGUUUUGUGCAUGCUGAGAUGUUAUUCUGUUCACCAUAGUUGUAAAGAGUGAUUAUAUGAGUUACUAUAUCCUUUAUGGCAGCUCAAACUAAUAUGACUAUUUUCCUCUGGCCUCUAUUAUCAACAAGGCAUUUCCCCCCACAGAACUGUAACUCACUCAAUGUUUUUUUGUUGUUGUUGUUUUUUGCAAGCAUUCUGUGUGUGAAAUUCCCAGGAGAUCAGCAGUUUCUGAAAUACUCAUACCAGCCCGUCUGGUACCAUGAUCAGAGUCACACUUUUUCUUCAUUCCAAUGCUUGAUAUGAACAUUUCCAGAAGCUCUUGACCUUUAUCUGCAUGAUUUUUUGCAUUGUGCUGCUGCCACAUGAUUGGCUGAUUAGAUAACUUCAUGAAUGUGCACAUAUACAGGUGUUCCUAAUAAAGUGGAUGAUAAGUGUAUAUGUAAUGUUGGAACGUCUAUUAGAGAAUAAGUGUUUUUUGAUCCUGGUUGUUCUGGCCCUAAUGCUGUGCAGCCUUCUACCUGAGGGAACAGUCAGUGAGCAGGGUGGAAUGAGUCUUUCAUGGUAUGGUGAGCCCUGUUCCUGCAUCUGCCUGUUUAAAUGUUCUCAACUAUUGGAAAACUGCAGCUGGUGAUCCUCUGUGCAGACUUAACUAUAUGCUGCAGAGCUACAUGCCACAGAGCAGUUUUUGUACCACACGGUGACACAUGAUAUAAGGAAAUUCCAUUACAUUCUGACAGCCAUUCAAUUCUAUUGCAAACUGAAUAGAUUAGACUUCUGUCUAUCCAUCCAUCUAUCUAUCUAUAUAUCUAUU
Molecule: long non-coding RNA, 1891 nt
Organism: Ictalurus punctatus (channel catfish)
Lineage: Eukaryota; Metazoa; Chordata; Actinopteri; Siluriformes; Ictaluridae
Source: Ensembl